AACCCGAAUCUGUUCUGAGAAGCAGCCUUAUCCAGCAUUAGCGACAAUAUGUUCAUGCAGGUAACGAACAAGUAUGGAGACAAAGAACAGCCCUGACGAAGGCCCCUCGAACUUCCAAAAUAACCCGCAAGUUCACCGUUGACUUGAACUGAAAACGAGGCAGUGGAAACACAUAGUCGAAUCCAAUGAAGGAAAUCCAAAGGAAGAUCCUUUGCCUCCAAAACCGUUAAAACAAAGUCUCAUUCCACUGUAUCAAACGCCUUUGAAAUGUCAAUUUCGAGAGCACAUCUAGAGGAGAUAGAGGGUUUAUGAUAGCAACAAGUUCAGAGGCUAGGAGUAAAUUUUCGACUAGGAGCCUAUCUUCGACAAAAGCCGACUGAUUCGGCAAGAUAAAAUUUGGAAGGAUAGUCUUCAGCCUAUUUGCCAGAAUCUUCGAAAUGAGCUUAUAUAUUACAUUACAACAAGCUAUCGGCCUGUAAUCCUUUAUUGUCUUAGCCUGUUCCCGGAAUUUUGGAGUGUUAUCUACAACAUAUAGCAAAUUAUUAUAUGGUUGUGUUUUUCUUGAAUGCGAUAGUGAUCAUUGACGAUAUCAGUGGUUAUACUACACGUUCAUGGUGGUUUCUUCAUGCGACACCUAUGGUGGUAUAUCACUGUAACUGAUGAUGUUACACAGCGAUUGUCUCCCGUUUCGUUCAAGCGUGGUCGGUUCCAAUGGGUAACCGUUUUCUCUCUCUCAUGUAGAGUUUCUUUCCGGUUUAAUCGGUUUAUGUGUUGGAUUGUUGUUGUCGAUACAACCAAUCCAUCUUCUCAAAAUUGCCGUAUAUGGGAUCCCGGAAUUUCGGUCAUGAUACAGAAAACUGUAGCCAUUAACCAAAAACAUAAGACGAUGACACCACAUCAACCAAAGUUAGAUGAAAGUGGGAUUUUUGCACAACCUUAUGUAAAAGAGAUAUUAGUUUCUUUUCAACUUUUGUUGUCGGAUCUCGCUUGUGCAGAAUUGGAGGCAAGAUGUAGAAGUUUGAUUUCAGAAAGGAGAAAAUCAAAGUCGAAAUAUGUCAAGAAGACUCUAAUACGAUUUCACUGGUAUCAGAUUGUCGAAGUUCCAGAACUAUUACCGGAAGCAUUGGGUUUUGUCAUGCGGUGUGUAAUUCAAAGGUAUAGCCAAGAGAUGCUAGCUACGCACAUUUCGCAUCAGAUUAAGAUCAAAUACGAAGAGGAAAAUAACGAAUUUUAUGAUUCGUUAGCGAGUAAGACUUAUCUAUGGAAAGCAUCAUCAAAUCACUUAUUUUGUUGUAUCUUUUUCACUAUAUGGCGCAUAUAUCUGCUUAUGUAAUAAUUUAUUUUCUGAAAGUUCUGUAUGACUUUGUAAUCCUUAUUUGAAAUCAAUAAAAUUGUUUGCCGUAAAAAAAAAGUAUUCAUAUAAACUAAUAUCGAUUCAUCAGUAUCUCUAGAAACAAAUAAAUUUUCAAAGUCCCAGCAUCAUUAGUUUAUAGAAGUUUUAAUGUAUUAAAUAUGUUUAUGACAGAGCGUCAUGGAUCGGUCGCAGUGGCGGAGGGAAAUGGAAUAAGAUGGGGUCAUUCGCCUCCAACGAAUUUUAAAAAUUGCUGUAAUUUAUUAAAGUUUAAUAUCAAUGCCCACACCCAUAAUAUUACAUAUACUCUCAUUUGCCACCAGGAAAAAAAAUUUCUGGCUCCCCCACUGAUCGAUCGUACCCUGACAAAGCUGUACGUAGUAAUACAUUUUAUCUAUAUCUUUCUCAUGCAUGGUCAAGUUGUACACUAAUACAUUUUAUCUUUAUCUUUCUCAUUACGAAGUCUGAUUGUGAGGUGUUUUUUUCCAGCAUUUAAGACUUCCAUCAUGAAUCAUGAUAUGCAGUGGGAAAAGCUCCCUAUUUUACUUCAUCAGAGUUUUGGUUCCGGAUCAUCUAUAAUGAAGCCAUAUACAAUGGACAACAUUAAAAUGUGUCCGCCAAUCGCCAUGCUCGUUAGACACGUAGCGAAGUCGUAACUUACUAAGAUAAUUUUUUACCAAAAAAAAAAGAACUGACUAAGAUAAUAUCACCAAAGUAAAACCUUUCCGUAGAGAAUUUUUUUAAAAAAAAAAAUAUUAAAUGUAAAUACUACCUUACAGACCAUAAAUCUCAUCUUGUAGCAAUGGAGUUACUUCCUUGGAUAAUAAAGGUAAAUUCUGAAAGUUGAAAGAACAGAACCGUGAGUAGUUGUAUAAUAGCCACCAAACUAUAACGGAAGAUAAUUAUUGGCGCUUUACUUCCGGUGGAAUAUGUUGAAGAAUUGAAGUACUUCAAACCCUAAAGAUACACAAUACAAGGAAGACAAAAAAAGAUUCAAACGUUCACAAUUUUUCAAAUAACCAACAUGAAAAUAAGUAAGCCUGUAAUUUUGACCUAAUAGCCUCAUAAAAUGCAAGUAAACAGCUUCUGGACCUUUUCAUGGCGAUUGAUGUACCCGGUGAGACCACGUCUUACAAUACAAAUGAUUUAGACGUCAAUCUCUUUUUUUUUUUUUUUUUUGAUUUAGACGUCAAUCUCAAAACCUAUGAUUGGAUUCUGAGGAGUCUUCAGUUAGAUAUAGGGUCGCAAUUUGCGUCUGAACUGGACAAAGUUUAGUGUAAUUUACGUUUCUGCUUGAUCCUUCGUGAGCGAUUGUGAGAUUUCGUUAAUUCCACACAUCCUAUUCGAUUGAGAGAUUAACCGGAGUGAAAAGACCAAGAAGACUUUCUAGUUUCUAGUAGGUUAAACCAGUGUACGCAAUGUUUUGUACUCGGAAGAAAGAAACUUCAAUUAUUGCACGAUAAUGAAAUACGCCAAGGAUUUCCCUAUUCAUGGGACAUAGGAGUCAGCCUUUUCACGUUAAGAAUAACCGUAACCGUGGUCCUGCCUUGACGCUGCAUAGCCGUUCAUCUUAUUCUACAUUGUUUUAAUUAUUAGUUAUCAAGGACAUGAAAACUGUUAGGAGCCCACCAGUUUAUAAGUGUAUGAUUUUAGUCAUUUUUUUGUUUCACUAAUUUAGGGGUACUUGGAUUUUUAUUUGUUUGGUAAAUCACGUGGGAAGCAUUUCUCUCACGUUUAGUUAUUACAAAUUUACAAUGCAACCGUUUCGAGAAUCGCAUUGUCACGAGAAUAUAAACGAUUUAUAUGGGUGAGCUUUUCAAUUUCUCAUUAAUUAUUAAAAUUUGUAAAACCCAAUUAAACUUUAUAUAGUGUGAAAAGCUAAAACACUACAAAACGACUGUCUAUAUAUAGGGUAUAUAGCACUACCCCAUAUCCAAUAUCAUUCUCGAUCACUCACAGCUCUUCUCCAACCUGAAGGUCGUUCUCUCUCUCUCUCUCUCUCUCGAAAUUAUUAGACAUGCUUUUUCCAUGUAUGAUUUGUUUUAUACUUGUUAACAUUUGUUAUUACGUUAUUAACUUAUUAUCAUUACAAGUAUACUACUGCGUUAUUCAGCUUAUUUGUUAAAGGUAAAUCAUCUGUGUAAGAUUGUUCUUAUGAAUGAAAUAAGAAAGAUGCUUCAUGUAGGAAAAAAAACAAUAUAUUACUAGGGUGUUUCUGUAUACUAUUACUUCUAUUCAGCAAAGAUUCGUUUUAGUUACAAAGAUAGGGGAAAGCAUAUUAAAAAUGUCAGUGUCCUCCCAGACCUGGAAGAUAUGGACUAACUUUUCAGAUUUUACAGACUGAAGAAUAAAAAGUUAUUAUUUUUAAAUAUGCCCUAUAAGUUUCGGAUUGUUAAUGUUUCUAUGUAAUUGGUAUAUAUUUCUCGUAUACUUUGCUCGAAGCCAGUUUUUUUUGUUUUUAUCUAGUGAUUUCCUCACUUUAAGUUUUAUGUCAAAGACUCAAAAGGAGACUGAUUGAAAUUGUCGUGUAAACGUAUUUUCCAAUGUGUUCACACAAAACAAAAAUACUACUCAUAGUUGACAAAGAAAAAAGUAUUCCCCAUAAUGGAGCCUGCGAAAUAAUUAUUCGAUAGAAAAAAACGUUAUUAUCUAGGUACUAACGUCUCCUAUGACAUUUGUAAUAAGUAGAAAACAUAGUUGAUCUUACUUCUUCUUCCUUUCUUAACCAAGACACCACAUUCUGUUUGUUAUUUGUUGUUUCUUGUCAAUUUGUGUAUUUUUUUUAAAGAGAUUCAAUAUUGCAGGUUUUCUCAGAAGUUAGAAAAGAAAAACAAUGUCCGAAAAGAUGGGACCAAUUGGUGGUAUCAAGGGAAAGACAUUCGACGAUGGAGCAGAUCAUGACGGUGUGGCCAAGAUAUACGUUGCACCUGGUGGUCGAGGGAUUGAGAACAUCAAGUUCGAUUAUGUUAAGAACGGAAAGAUAAAGGAAGGAUCUUUACAUGGUGUGAAAGCUAGAGGUUUCACUUCAACGGUGCGUGCUGAUUUCUUUCUUUUAUUCGACAACGCUACUUGUAGGAUAUUUUUAGAUUAUUAUUACUUUGCAUCUAAGUACAAUAAGAAUGUUUAUUGGAGGCUAGUGACAUUUUGAUCUUCGAUUUUCCCAGAUUGUGAUCAGUCAUCCCGAUGAGUACCUUAUUUCUGUAGAGGGGUGGUUCGACUCUUCCAAUGUCAUUCAAGGAAUCCAGUUCAAAACUAACAGAAACAUUUCUGAUAUAUUUGGAUAUGAAUUUGAUGGAGAUGGAACACAAUUUUCACUUCAAGUCAAGGACAAGAAGAUCAUCGGUUUUCAUGGAUUAGUUGAUUCUCAUCUCAAUUCUCUUGGAACUUACUUCACUCCCAUCUCUUCCUCCUCUUCGUCUUCCUCGUCCUCGAGUCCUCCUCUAAAAAAGUUAGAAGCUCAAGGAGGAAAUGGCCGAGAAAAAUUCGACGAUGGUACUUUUGAUCAUGUAAGAAAAGUUUCUGUUGGUCAAGGAGAUUCGGGUGUAGCGUAUAUCAAGUUCGAAUACGAAAAAGAUGGCAAAAGAGAGGCACACGAGCACGGAAAAAAGACAUUGUUAGGAACAGAGGAAUUCGAGGUUGAUCAAGACGAUUACAUCACAUCUAUGAAAGGUUACUACGAGAAACUCUUUGGCUCGGAGACAGAAAUUAUAACGACUCUUAUAUUCAAGACAUUCAAGGGCAUAACCUCUCAGCCUUUUGGAAUGCCCUCGGGGGAUAUGUUCUUGCUCGAAGGCGGCAAAAUCACUGGAUUCCAUGGCAGUUCGAGCGACGUUCUUCAUUCUAUCGGAGCUUAUAUUUCUCAUUCGGCUUCUCCCAAGAUGCUGCGUGGCAAUUGGAUCCAGGUACGUACGAAUUAGGGCUUAAGAGCAUCAUUAUAUAUUGGUUGAGUUUUUUUAAAAGUGUUUCUAGUAAUCUUAUAUUAGUAUUUUAACAUAAUUAAUAAAGAAUUCAACCAUUUAAAAAAGGACAUGUAUUAUUAUAGUCUCCCACAAAUAAAAAAAUCAAUUAUUCAAAAAGAGACAGAUAUUUUAAUAGUUUCUCUUGAGUUUCCGAAAGUUUCUCAAAUAUUCUCUCUCUCUUUCCUAGUUCCUACUUUUUUUAUUUUAUUUUAAUUUUGUGAAUACGAUACACACUCAAAACUAUCGCUAAAGAUGUUCUAACAUGCGGUUACACGAGUCGGUUUGGUCCCACAUAUUCAGUUUUUGUUUAUCAGAAGAUUUCAUAUUUUAUUUGGUUUGGUAAACAUAUAUAUAUAUAUAUAUAUAUUAUUUUGGACAACAAAUAUAAAUAGUAGUAAUAAUUUCAAAAUGUUGUAUUAUAUCGAAGUUUCUUAUUUUUUACUUUUAAAAGUAACAAAUUUUCAAUUUGAUUUUGGUUCAAAAAUUUGGAAAUGAUUUUGGUUCGGUUUGAAUAUUCUUAGAGACAGAUUGCGUAGUAAUACACCAAGUAAACAAGAUUAAUAUUGUUUAUGUGUGACCGUGAUGAUAUUGUGUUAUGAAACAUGUGGUGACUAUUAUUUUUAGGUGGAGCAAAAAGGCAAGGGUCCUGGACCAAGAUGCUCGCACGCUAUAGCAAUGGUUGGAGACAAAAUGUACUCUUUUGGAGGAGAGUUAACGCCAAAUUUCCACAUUGAUCAACACCUCUACGUCUUCGAUUUCAAGACACACACAUGGUCGCUUGCUCCUCCAAACGGCGACGUUCCUGAACUCCUUGCUUAGGCGUUUGCAUGGUGGCCAUCGGCACUACACUCUACGUCUUCGGUGGGCGCGAUGGCCACCGUAAUUACAAUGGUUUCUACUCUUACGACACAGUUAAAAGCGAGUGGAAACUCAUAACUCACGUCAAUAAAGGACCUGCACCGCGUAGCUUCCACGCAAUGGCUGCUGAUGACAAAAACGUUUAUGUCUUUGGUGGAGUGAGUACUACGGUACGUGUCAACACACUCCAUGCUUACAACAUCGUUGAUGAAAAGUGGAUUGAGCUUCCGAAUCCAGGAGAGUCUUGCAAAGCGAGAGGUGGAUCAGGGCUAGCGGUUGUGCAAGGGAAGAUUUGGGUUGUGUAUGGGUUUUGCGGGGACGAAAUGGAUGAUGUUCAUUGCUUUGAUCCGGCUGAAAGUAAGUGGACUAAAGUGGAAACAAGCGGUGAAAAGCCGUGGGGGAGAAGCGUGUUUUCGAUGGCUGUUCUAGGGAAAUAUAUAAUUAUAUCUGGAGGUGAGAUUGAGAUGGACCCAAAGGCUCACUUGGGUCCGGGGAAAUUGACCGGAGGAGCUUUCGUGUUGGACACAGAGAGUUUGAUGUGGCAGAAGCUUGAGGAAGGUCAUAGCCCGCGUGGAUGGUGCGCGUCCACGACUGCGUCCAUUGAUGGGAAAAAAGGGUUGUUGAUGUAUGGAGGGAAGUCUCCGACCAACGGUCGUUAUGAUGACAUCUUUUUCUAUGGCGUAGACUCUGCUUAAGACCGCUCGGUGUUGGUAAUAUUGUGAGCUUUAAAAGUUGUAGUUUGUUGCAUCAUGGGAAGGAUCUGGUGUCUGAGACCUAAAGAGUUGAGAGCUGAGAUUCUUGCUUGGUUUCUCUUCAUUUUCUGUGUGUUUUUUUUUAUUGAUCGAAUCAAUAAAUGUAGAACUGAGUUCUUAAAUAAGAUAAGCGUGGAAAUCAAGCAUUUGGUUUCUUUACUAUUGAUAUAGAAAAUAAGAUGUUUAAUUUGAGGUCCGGUGACAAUAUCAGGAAUAAGAGGAAUGAUAAAGAAAUAAAAAAUAAAAAGAAUCAUUUGGAAAAAAAUAAAUAAAAUAAAUAAAGAAAAUGAAUGAAAAUUGUCACAAUAAAUGGUAACCAGAAACAUGAAUGAAUAUCUUAAAACAAUAAAUAUUCAACAAUUAAUAACUUAAAAGAAAAAAAGUUUUUCUUGAUAGAGUCGAUUGUCUACAACUUUAGCGUCUCCAUUCCAUUCACAAUGUGUUUAAUAACUACAACAUAAAAAUCUGCAUUAUUGAUCUAUAAAAUAGUAUCCAACUAAUAACUUAGCAUUAAAAGUUUUCUUUUUAGAGAAUUGACCUCUUAAUAUAUCAAAUAACGUGUAUGUUAAAGUAAAAGUAGACAAACCUAUAACCGACAACGACGAGAAGCAAGUCUUUUGUCGGACCACAAUUUUUGGGCAAUAUGAUCUCGAACCAUUUUCAUAUAAACCUCUGUUGAUGUUUCUUCAUUUAUUCGUCCAUCAUCUUCAUCAUCUGAAAGAUUGUUCUCAUUUUGAUGUAUAUUAUCGCUUAUUUCUGCUUCUUCGAAAUCAAGAUCUUUAAUUUUGUUUCACCGAAUAAAAUUGUAAAAUCCCAUUGUUGCAAAUAUAACAUUUCUUUACGUCGAAAUAUUAUACAUUGGAAAUUCUCUAAUAACCCUCCACUUUUCCUUGCAUACACCAAAAGUGCGUUCAAUAACUGAACUAAUGAUGCAUGCCAACUAUUGAACAUUUCCUUAUUAUUUUUUGGAAACUCCUUAUUUAUAAACUUUUGAAGAUGAUAUCGAGUAUCAUCUUUUUAAUUUGUCUUUCCGAUAUGGAGCUAAAUAUCAACAUCUAUAUGGAGUAUUUUCUUUCAAGAGGUUUAGGAAACAUUGGAUCAUCUCGUAUAGCUGUUUCCAGCACUCGUGAGUCAUGUGUUGAUCCAGCCAUUCCAACAAAACAAUACGUAAAAAGCAUAUCGUGAUCACACAUUCCAAGGAUGUCAAAAAAAAAGAUCACACAUUCCAAGGACAUUAAGAUUUGCUGUUCCUUUUCGGUUCACAAACCGUAAUGUAUCUUGACCUGGAAUCAUCAUAACAGAUAUAUGUAUCCCAUUAAGAGCCCAAAUACAUCCACUAAAAUAAGGCCAAUACCGUCUAUCUCCUUCUAAACUAUUGGAUAUUGCUUCUAACUUAUAAGCUGUUAUUGGGCGUAAAUAGUCAACAGCCAAUCGUACUAUUGCCCCAAGAACACAAUGAAAUUUCCAUUCCUAAUUUUGGUCUGGUGACCAUAAUUGGACAAGGACAUUCUAUAUAAAUAGACAAACGUAAAAUUACAAAUGUUCUAUUAUUCAGAUCAAAUUAAAAAAAAAAAUAACGGAUUAAAGUAAAUCUAGCUGUUUUUCCCAACUCUAUCCCAAACUAUGAUUUGCUCCUACAUAAGAUGUGUGGAAAGCGGUUAUCUCAAGUCUCAUGAAAAACUUACGUCCCAUAUAAAGAAAAGAACGUGUAUGUACCUGCAAAAUACUGACGUAUAUGUGUACAUGCAGAAUAGGCUUCCAGUGGGAGCUAUUUUUUAAAAAAAUUAUUAUAAGCUCAGUGGGAGCUAUAUAUUCUAUUCACUUCACGUGUUGCUUUUCUACUGACUUUUUUCAUUUUUAUUUCUAGUUUUUUCAGUCACAAUGGAUCGGUCUAGUAAUUCUUAUAAUAAAUGAAAGGACUCGAUCUUAGACGAUGUUCUAAAAAUCGGCCGCUUAGGGCAUCUCUAACUCACCUUUAGAGAUUAUACUCUAACCCACUUCUAUUUUCACCUCUAAAACAAAGAUUGCUAUUUUUUCCUCCAAAUAUAGAAGGACUCUAUUUUUUCCCUCUAUAAUAGAGGUGAACUUUUUUAUUUAUAAAGUAGUCCUUUAACUUUUAAAUAUUUCUAUUUAUGCAAAAGGUAUAAUUUUUUAUGAAUAUAAAUGUGAUAAUUUUGGUUAUAGUUUAAAAAAAAAUUUUAAAACAUAUGAUAUUAUUAAAUAUAAAAAUUCUCAUUUGAAAUUAAACUACAAAAAGUAAUUGCAAAUUAAAAUUACAUAAAAAUAAACAAAAAAUAAACAAAAAAUAACAAUAAUUUAAUAAUCUCCUAAUUGGCUCCCGGAUCCACCAAAAUUAAAAUAUUGUCAAAACAAAGUAGAUGAAGGAGGAGCGUGUUGAUCUUGUUGCUGUUGUUCAUCACUUCGCUUCUGUAAAAUCCAAAUAGCAGAGGAUAAUAAUAUCUGAUUCUAAGAGUUUCUAGGUCCGUUUAGGAAAAUCAAAGAUUAAAAAGCUUAUUUUUUACUUCGGAAUGAAUUAGUCGAUCAUUUAUGGGAAAAACACAUCAGUAAAGAUGAUUAAACUAUUAUGUUUCUUUUUAUGAUGUAAUGUCUUUUUUAGUUUAUGAAUUUUUACUUCUAGUAUUAUUAUAAUAUGUUGAAACUUUCAUAAAAAGUAACAUAAAUGGGAUUAAUUUAAAAAUUUAGUCAAAGAUUAGUAUUACUAUAAUUUAUGAAAAUUUUUAUAAAAAGUAAAAUAACAGAUUAAAUCACAAAUUUUAUUUAUCAAAGUUAGUAUUAUUAUAAUUUAUGUAAGUUUUUGUAAAAAACAAUAAGUAGGGUAAAUUCAUAAAUUUUAUUAACAAAAGGUGUUAAGAACAAAUAACAAAAAGAAUAUAUUGAGAAUAUUCUUUUUUAAAGGGAAAAAUAGAGGUAACCAUUGGAGACAAAUGCACCUUUAUUUUAGAGGAAAAAAUAGAAGCAACCAUUGGAGAUGGUCUUAGGUGCUAAAAGAGAGGGUAGCUGCCCUGAUUUGUUUUUAGGCAGAGAGUUUAGGCGGUCAACCGAUUUUCAACUACUUAAAUUCGAUUUUUUAAAAAUUUGGUGAUUUCUUAAAAAAAAAAUUUACUUUUUUUUUUAAACCCACAGUAUUAACCUAAAAAAUCAAUCCAAAACUUUUAAUAUUUUUAUAUUAGUCCAAUAUUUUUUGUUUUAGUAAACUAAAACCUUAAAAUUGGCCCAAAAAUAUGUCUAAAAGUUCAAUGAUACUUAUAUUUCAAUGUAUAUAUGUUUUAACAAAUUUAAUCUGCAGAAAAAAAAUUAUUAAAUUUAAAAAAAACUAAUAUGAGUAAUUAAAAAUUAAAUAUAAUAUAGAUUAAUUAAAACUAAUCAUCAACUAAUCAGUGAUUAAUCAUUGAUUUUUGGUUUAAAUGCUAGUCAGAGCCCGUCUACCCAUCUACCGCUUAGCAAAUUAUUUAGCAGAUCUUAGAUAACAUAAUGUCGAUUUUUGAUGAGCUUAUAAUACUAGACCACAGUCGCUUUAAUUCUCCUCACUUAUAAACACGUUACAAAUUUGACCAAAAACAAACACGUUAAUUUUGACUAAUUUCAUUAUAAAUAAUUAUAAACUUAAAAAUAUUAAUAACUGCUAAUGAUUUUGUGAAAUUGAUAAAUUAUUUAAAUAGAAUAAAUGAUAAUUAUUCAUAUUUAAUUUAAACUUUAUGUUCUUUCUUAAUAUCUUUUUUUGGUCGGAUGUUCUUUCUUAAUACCUUAUUCAAACAAAAAUAACCGGCUUAGGAAAAUUAUAAUUAGAAAAACCCUAUAACUAAAAACGUUUUAGUAAUAACAAUGCAUAAAGUCUUACUUUUCUCAGAACAAAAAAACGUGUUUUAAGUAAAUAUAAUAAGUUACAUAAAAUGCUGCUACAUUAUACAUAAAUUUUUAUCGAUAUUGAUCACUUAAAAGUUAAAAAUUAUAUUCUUCAUUACCAAAAAACAUAGUUUAUAAAUUCUGUUAACGUGUUAACCAUAAUAUAUGAUACUUGUUAUUAUGAUAACUAACAUGAUCUAAUACUUAUUAGCAUAUUAGCAAUAAUAUUUAAUACUAGUAACGUGUUAACAUAGUAUAUAUUAAUGUAUUAAAAAUAAUAUUUGUAACAUGUUAAUAAUAAUAUUUUUUUUUACUGUUAGCACGCUAACAACUAUCAUAUAUUAUUUUUAAUAUAGUAACAAAUAUCAAAUAUUUAGUUACAAAAUAAAACAUUAACAGAUAUAAAAUGUUAUGUUUUUUGGUGAUGAAUAGUAUGUUUUCUGGUGAUGAAUAGUAACAUUGAUUUUUGAAUGAAUAGUAUUGGUAGAGUUUGAUGAACAAUCUAUGAACAAUAACAAUAAUAGUGAUGGUAAAAGAGGAGCAAAAUAGAAACAAAUAUAUUUUUCUUUCUAAUCAAAGUAAUUUUAAACUAUUAUUGAUAUAUACAUAUUUAAUUUUGAUAUCUUAUGAUAGAUAUUAGAUAUCGGCGUAUCGCUAAUAGUUAAUACUCAAGAUCCCUAAAAAUCCAAAUCAAUAAUUUCACGAUAAGAAAAGUAAAUGGAGUGAUAAAAAUUGACAUGUAAAAAGGGAUACCAUUUUUUAGUUGGAUCCUAGUCAUCUUAUACAACAAUUCUUAUUAUUUGUCAAGGAGAUCUGAAAUAAUUGGGGUCCACCAUUUUACAAGUAUCAUUUGUGUGAAAAUUUAGAAAUUAUUGAAUAGAAUAAAUGAUAAUUUUUCUAAAUUUAAAUAAAACUUUAUGUUCUUUCCAAAUGCUUUAUUGAAACAAAAAUCAACGGCUUAGAAAAAAACUAAUUACAAAAUGAAUCAUAUAACUAAAAAAUCUUCAGUGAUAACGAAGAAAAAUAAAUUCUGAAAAAGAAAAUGCAAAUCAAUAAUUUCACGGUACGAAAAGGAGAGAAUAAUAGGUCAUUUUCAAGAUGAAAGAUGGAGUUGCCAAUAAAGUGACAUGCAAAAGAAAAUGGACAUCACUUUCUAGUUGGGUCCCAUCUGUGCCAUUAUUCAUUCAUUAGCCAUCUGAUACAACAUUUCUUAUUAGCUGCCAAGACAUGUGAACUAUUUAGGGUCCACCAUUUUACGAGUAUCAUUUUUGUCAUGUUAUCGGACGGUUACUUGGAUUUUUAUUGGUUUUUUACACCACGUGGGAAGCAUUUCUCCCACGUUUCCGUUCGAGAAUCGCAACUACCGUCAUUGUCAGAAAGAAUGUAGAGCAUUAAUUAUUAAAAUUUGUAAGAAACAGUAAAGUUUUUAAAUACAUGUGAUCAAUCAAAAAUGACUGAGAGUACUAAACUUUACAUAGGGAGUGCAACAAAAAAAACUUUAAACUAAUUACUUGGAAGAUUGAAACAAAAAAAAAAACAUGGAACCAUCCGCUAAUUAAGUGAUAAAACCUAAGAAAACAACAUUGUACACAAAUAUAAUAAAUCCAGGGAAAAAACGCAGAAAUGUUAUAGUAUGUAUCCGGUAGAUACUCUAAACCUGAUAGGAUGAAUUAAAAAAGCAGGUAUAUGUAGGCUUAAAAUUUUAUCAGAAUUCAAGGUAUCUAUUUGGUCUUUACCUACUCUUAUCAUCCUGAGAAUAUAAUUUAUAUAAAGGAUUUGUAUUAGUGAGCUUUUCAAUUUCACACCAAUUAUUAGCAUUUGUAUAACAAUUUAAGUUUUAUAUUCAUGUGAUAAAUUUCAAAAACGACAGAGAGUAAACUUUAUUACGGAGUGUAAAAAAACUAAAACACUACAAAGCGAGUGUCAAUAUAUAGGGACUAUGGCACUACCCCAUAUCCAAUAUCAUUCUCGAUCACUCACAGCUCUUCUCCAACCUGAAGGUCUCUCUCUAUCUUUGCCUCCUUUUUCUCCACGAUUCUAUAUUCACAUUUUUAGCUGUCAACAUUCUCUAUUCACAUUAUCAUAAUAAAAUAUAAUUUCGUCCUUGUUAUAGGAUCAUACGGUUUUGCCAUGCAUCAACUGUUUUCUAUUUGAUAAUCGGCCAUUCAUCAAUUGUUGUUGUGAAUUAUUUUAUUUUUUGAUAAAUACUUGCAGUCAUGAAUUAUACGUUCUUAUCAAUAUAUACAAAGACACUACUCGGGUUUUUUGUAUGAUGUUCAACUGUAAAAAUAUUUAUUGUAAUUGCAAAAUAACGAAAAUUGAAGGAUAUUAGAGGUUUUAGUCAAACCGUCUUUAGAUACGUGAUACGUCCUAAAAUUCUCAGUAUUUAUAACGGUUCUCGUAUACUUGCUAAAAUCCAGAGCUUUUUAUACGUAUAAUUAUGUCAAAGAGUCAAAGGAGACUGAUUGACAUUGUGUCUUGUAAAAGUAUUUUCCAUUAGUGGAGCCUGAGAAACAAUAAUUCGAUAGAAAAAAUAGCUAGUAAUGGUAUUCAAGUUUUCCUGUGAUGAUAAGAAGAAAAACAGAGUUUUGUGUUUCUUCUUCUUCCUCUGUUUUUCUUUACAUGUGAACUUAUGUGGAAUUUGAAAUAACAAACUACUUUUUUGUUGCUUUUUGAAUUAAUUUUCAGAUUUUCUGUGUAAAGUUAAGAGAAGGAAAUGAUGUCCCAAAAGAUGGGAGCAAUGGGUGGUAACAUGGGAGGAGCAUUCGACGAUGGUGUUUUUGACGGUGUGAAGAAAAUAAUAGUCGGAAGAGAUCUUGGAUGUGUCUCAUAUAUCAAGAUCGAAUAUGAAAAGGACGGAAAAAUUGAAACCCGUGAGCAUGGGACUAUUCGUGGGCAACUAAAUGAGGUAAUAAAAUUAUUGUGACUUUGUUACUCUUCAAUCGGUUCGUAUCAAACCCUUAAAAAGCUGAUAGUUUGUUUGUUUCUUAUGGAAAAUGAAUUUCAGUUUGCGGUGGAAUAUCCGAAUGAAUAUAUCACAUCUGUUGGUGGAAGCUACGGUCAUGUUAGAUACUAUGAAGCAGUGCUCAUCAAAUCGCUAUUCUUCAAAACCUCCUACAGAAGAACCUCUCCGAGAUUUGGAGAUUCAGGUGGGAGAGAAUUCAUGCUCGAGAGUGAAAAUGGAGGAAAGCUUCUUGGAUUCCAUGGACGCUCAGGUCAAGCUCUUGAUGCCAUUGGACCCUACUUCUUCGCUGUUAAUUCUCCCCUUAAGCACUUUAACCGUCAAGGUGGGAGUGGGGGGAGUGCUUGGGACGAUGGUGCUUACGAUGGUAUUAGAAAAAUACUCGUUGGAAGAGGUGGUAAGUUUGUGAGUUAUGUUAGGUUUGAGUAUGCAAAAGGUGAAAGAAUGGUACCACAUGCUCAUGGGAAAAGACAAGAGGCUCCACAAGAGGUAUUUAUCGAUAUAUUUAUUAUCUAUGUGUAGUUUCGUGUUUUCAGAUAUAUUUUGAAAAAGAAAUAAAAAAAAAUUAAAAUAACUUUGGUUGCAGUUUGUGGUGGAUUAUCCUAAUGAACAUAUUACAUUAGUGGAGGGAACCAUCGAUGGCUAUCUUACAUCGCUUAGGUUUAAGACAUCAAAAGGAAGAACCUCCCCUGCUUUUGGAAAUGUGGUUGGUCGGAAAUUUGUGUUCGAGGAACAAGGUUUCAAGCUUGUUGGCUUCUGUGGUCGAUCCGGUGAUGCAAUUGAUGCUCUUGGUGCACAUUUUGGCCCUCUUCCAGCUCCAGCUCCAGCUCCAACUCCAACUCCAACUCCUGCUCCUGCUCCUGCUCCUGCUCCAGCUCCAGCUCCAGCUCCAACUCCAACUCCUGCUCCUGCUCCAGCUCCAGCUCCAGCUCCAACUCCAGCUCCAACUCCAGCUCCAGCUCCAGCUCCAGCUCCUGCUCCAGCUCCAGCUCGAGCUCCUGUUACCAUAAAGAUGGGACCAAUCGGUGGUAACAAGGGAACCACAUUUGACGAUGGUGUCUUCAAUGGUGUCAAGAAAAUAACUGUCGGGAAAGACGAGUACAGUAUAACUUACAUCAAGAUCGAAUAUGAAAAGGAUGGAAAAGUCGAAAUUCGUGAACACGGGACGAAUCGCGGGGAGCUAAAAGAGGUCAAAAUAUAUAAUUUUUUUCUAAAAAAUUGUUCUUAUUUAGUAGGUUAGCUCUUAAUUCAUUUGCUUAUAAUGGAAAAUGAAAUACAGUUUACGGUGAAAGAACAUAUCACAGCUGUAGGUGGAAGCUACAAUCAUAUUUUCAACUAUGAUACAACGCUUAUCACAUCACUAUACUUCACAACCUCCAAUGGCUUUACCUCUCCAUUAUUUGGUGAGAUGAGUGGAGAAGAAUUCAAUCUCAAAGGUGAAAAUGGUGGAAAGCUUCUUGGAUUCCAUGGACGUGGUGGUUAUGCUAUUGAUUCCAUUGGGGCUUUCUUCGAGACACACUCUAGUGGAUCCCAAAAGUUGUCCAAAAAGAUGGGACCGAUUGGUGGUAUUAAGGGAAAUACAUUCGACGAUGGUGUUUUCGAUGGUGUGAAGAAAAUAACUGUGGGGAAAGACAUGUAUGGUAUAACUUAUAUCAAGAUCGAAUAUGCAAAUGACGGAAAAUUGGAAACUCGUGAACACGGGACGGCUAGCGCGGAACUAGAAGAGGUGAAAAUAAAUAAAGGGUCUUUUGUGAAUUUUGUUAAUAUUCAAUUGGUUUGCUACUAAUUCGUUUGUUUAUAAUGGAAAAUGAAAUACAGUUUACUGUGGAUUAUCCAAAAGAACACAUUACAGCCGUUGGUGGAAGCUACGAUCAUAUCUUUACCUACGAUACAACGCUUGUGACAUCCCUCUACUUCACAACCUCCAAUGGAUUUACCUCUCCAUUAUUCGGUAAAAAUAGUGGAAAAGAGUUCAAUCUCAAAAGUGAAAAUGGAGGAAAGCUUGUUGGAUUCCAUGGACGUGGUGGCACUGCUAUUGAUGCCAUUGGGGCUUACUUCGACACCGGUUCAAAAGGAGGUGAAGGAGAGAGCUCCGGCAGCAACGAUACAAAACCUGUUGACACUGACACCAAACCCGGCAAAGACGAUUCAAAACCUGAUGCCUCGGGAAAGACGGGACUGCUUGGUGGUAAAGGUGGAAACGCAUUUGACGAUGGUCGUUUUGAUGGUGUAAAGAAAAUAACUGUGGGAGCGGAUGAUUUAAGUGUGACCUAUAUCAAGAUAGAAUACAUUAAAGAUGGAAAGGUCGAAAUCCGUGAACAUGGGACGAAUCGCGGGGAACUAAAAGAGGUUAGAUUGAAUCAAUCAAAAGUCUUUUUGUGUGUGAAUUUUGUUUUUAUUCAAUUGGUAUGCCACUAAUUCGUUUGUUAAUACAGUUUUCGGUGGAUUAUCCGAAAGACAAGAUCACAGCCGUUGGUGGAAGCUACGAUCAUAUUUUCACCUACGAUGCGACGCUUGUCACAUCACUAUACUUCACAACCUCCAAUGGAAUCACCUCUCCAUUAUUCGGUAAAACGAGUGGAAAUGACUUCAAUCUCAAAGGUGAAAAUGGAGAAAAGCUUGUUGGGUUCCAUGGACGUGGUGGCACUGCUAUUGAUGCCAUUGGAGCUUACUUCGACACUAGCAGCGAUUCCAGUACUCAAAGAGUGGACGCACAAGGAGGCAAGGGAGGCAUUCAAUGGGACGAUGGAGGCGAUCACGAUGGUGUGACGAAGAUACUUCUUGUAGGUAGUGGUCGAGGUAUUGAUCAAAUCAAGUUCGAUUAUCUCGAAAACAAGCAGCCAAAGGAAGGAACCCUCCAUGGUGUGAAAGGAAGAAGAAGUUUCGAAUCAACGGUCAGUAUAUAUAUAUAUAUAUAUAUAUUUUUUUUUUAGCUCAAAGAACAUUUUCUGUCAAAAUGUUGAUUUGAGAUUACUUAAAAUUUCCAUCUCGUAAAUUUUCGUGUUUUCUGCAGAUUGAGAUAAGUCAUCCCAAUGAGUAUCUGGUUGCCGUCAAGGGUUGGUACGAUUCAUCCAAUGUCAUUCAAGGACUUCAAUUCCAAACCAGCACAAAGACUUCCGAUUACUUUGUGUCUGGAUUUGCUGGAGAAGGUACAGAGUUUACACUUGAAGUUAAAGACAAGAAGAUCGUCGGUUUUCAUGGCUUUGCCGACUCUGGUCUCUAUUCUCUUGGAGCUUAUUUCGCUCCAAUCACCAAAUGAUCACCAAUUGAAAGUUUGUUGUGUUUGUUUCUUGAUUUCCAUAUGAAUAAAGUUAUAUCAGAGACAGACUUGUAGAUUUGUCACCUCAAGGUCUCUUGAUGGACUAUGAGUUAUGUUUGUGUUUCAACUUGAUGUUUGUGUUGUCGCUUGUUGUUUUUAAUAAAUGAUGUCUGUUCGAUCUAUUUUGAUUGUGUUUCUCUCUGAAUCUUGUUACGACUACAAAAGGUUUUUGUCUUAGCUAGUAAGUAUUUGCUACAUUUUUAUCUUCUUACCACAAUAUGUUGGAACUUUGAAUGAGUCGCACGAACAAGAUCAAGGAGGAUGUUUGCUUAAUAAUUAGGAUUGUGGCUUUAAACUGUAUGACGAUAAAGUAAUUGUUGUGAACGUAAAAAAGUUAAAGCCAUACUUUUUUGUUUUUAGAAAAAUGUGUCCAUCAUAAAGGAAAAUGAAAGAAAUGGACUGUGAUGCUUUUUGUGAAGUAGUUUUAGGAUUUGUAUAACUUUAAAAUAAAUAAAGUGGAUAAAAGAAAACUAUUACAAUUUUUUUAAAAAGUUCUCACAACCUUUAAAAUUAAUUUACCUAACAAUAUAUAAUAUAUAAAAUAAAUAUAGAAUACGUAUGCUAUAAAUGAAAUGAAAAAGAAACAAAUUGAAUACUUGUAUAAUAUGUAUACUGUUUAGAGGAUUUUCGGUUUUCGAGUAGGGGCAAGUCUCCUACAAAUCGGAGAAAACGUGAAGAUUCAGAAAACACGAUAGAGUGUGUUUUUCGAAAACUCUGCGAUGCUCAAAUCAGAAAAUAGCUCGAAAAUUUCACUUAAUUGCCAAUUAAAAAGCAGAAAGGAGCCGGAAACUUAUGAAGAAAAGUGGACCGAGAAUCCUCAUAAAGAGUAGGAUUUACUCAGGCCUUUUAGUGGAAUUGGGCUUUUCAGGGUGAAAAAAAAAUACUCCACGGUUAGGAACCGCCGUGGAGUGGUAAUGAAGAAAAGCGACCAAAAAUAUAGUCAGAAAAGAGUAAAGUGUAUGUACUUACGAACCACAAGUAUUUAAAGUGAACUCUUUUUUCGUGGAAAAGGGUAAAGUAUUUAUAAGGAGUUACGGACUCUGACUAGUAUACCGGAUCGGUCUAUAGACGGUGGUUUGGGUGGGUCGACCCAUGAUCCGACUUGACUGGGUUCGAAUCUUAUGAUGGCGUCAUGCUUCUGAUGGCCUCAUCAACUUUUCUUGGCAGCGUCCUUUUUGUUCUCAGUAUACGAGUCAGAUUGGCGGUUCAGACGCGGUAUGGCUCUUUACUGAACCUCUUUUUUUUUCCUGGCUCUUGCGAAAAGUCAUUGUCACUUGACAUACGUUAGGAAAACAAAUUAAAUGUCAAUCUUGUGGAUAUGUAAAGGUGUGGACAAUUAAAUCAAACUAAGACAUAUUCUUAUUGUCGAAUGGAGGGAAAUUUGAAUAAUGUUCCCGGUUAAGUAGUUUAUUCAUACCUGGUUCGGAUCCCUCGAUAUUGGGAUUGGACUGCUGCAGAUGGAUGAUUUUGUUUUCCGGAUACCUGUGCGAGCCACACUUUUUUAUAUUCCGAUCUUUUCAGAUCACCGAGUUUAGGUCUAGGACAUAGAGAAUAUGACUUCCUCUCCUUCUGACCACUUAGUUUCCAACUUUUUUGUUUUUGAUAGUGUGAUCUAUAUUGUCAGACACGAGGAGUCCGGGAAUAGAUGGCCUAUCGUAUUGGAUUUCCCAAAUCCGAUGGAUUCGUUACCCAAUACUAUAAGUUUAGGCCAUAUUAAAUCGACGGCCUAAUACGUGUCCUAAUUUAGCUUAGAGGGUUUACAAAAAAUCAUAAAGUAUAAACACGCGAUUCACCACUUAAGAAAAAUUGAAUUGAUAUAUUAAAGUUGCUUUUUUUUUAGUCAGUUUGCUAUAAAUACCAAAACUUGGUCAAAAUUAGCUGAAUAGGAAUGACAAGACGUAAAUCUAUCUCUACAGUGUUUGGUUGGAAUGUUAAUUACCAUAUAACCCUCAUUUCUCAGUCUCUCUCUUUCCUUUCUUUUAUAUUUAAAAACGAAGAAAAAUUAGUUGUAACAAGUUACAUGUUAUUGUAGCAUGUUAAAAAUUAUUGUAUUAUGUAAAUAUGUAGGUUAACUGCUAACUUUUAGCUUAGCACGAUAACAUAGUUGAUAUCAGUUAACUUUUAUGUUCUUUUUCGUCGGAACAUUAACAUUUUCCUAGAUGUGAUGAUUUUGUUACAAGUUAUAUUUGAUUGUAAUACGUUAAUUUAUGUAUUGUACCUCUAACGUUUGUUUUAACAUGGUAACUUAAUAAUUUUCUGUUUAACUUACAUGUUACCUCUAAAUGUUUAUAUGUUAUUAUACCAUUUAAACAUUUAGAUAUAGCUCUAACUUUAUAUUUCACACGACAAAUAAAAUCUUGAAUCAUCAACUUUCAUCUUCAAUCUCCAGAAAAACCCAAUAUAUGAACCAUUGUCGCCGAUAUCAAAAUCGAUCUAAAUUCCCAGAAAAUUCACAGCCAAAUUUGCACUUCCACCUAUUUUUGUAUUAUCCACAUCCAUAUCUUUGGUGUUCAUUCCUUUGACAUAGAUAAUCUUAUAAAGUGUUUUUGGUGAGUGUGUGUAAGAGAUUGAGUGAAGGAUUGUAAAAAAAUUAAAGAUUUGUGAGGAAAGAGAAAGAUGAACGACGGAAAUAUGGUAUGAAGAAGAAGAAGUUGUGAGAGAAAAAUAUUAAGGGUAAUAAUGUCAUAUUGAAAAGUAUACAGAAGAGUAAUAUUGCGUUUUCCUAUUUUGCAAAUUAUGAACAAUCAUGAGGUUAUCUACUACAAAUACUUUUUUUUUUUCAUGAUUGACACGUAAGCAUGCAUGCUGCGUAGCCGUCAUUCAAUGACUGAAAUGUUAUGUCAUUUUUUUUGGUGUACCAAAUGGCAAAUGCAUGGUUUAUUCUGUGCAGCCCUUUUUUAAUAAAUAUUAAACUGGUACAAUCAGAUUUGGCUUGUUUGCCAAUAGUUUCUAUUUCUAUUCCAAUAUUACUAGCUCUAACUAUCUAAGAAUAAACUUAAACUAGAUUUUAUCACGUGCAUCCGCACGGAAAAUUUGUUUUAAUCAAAAUUUGUAAUCUAAUUUAUGUUUCUUUAUAAAUAUAAUUUUUUAAUAAGUGAUAUAAAAAAAAUUAUGUUUAGAUAUAAUUUUUUUUUUUUUUUUUCAGUAUUAUUAUGACUACUAUGAUCAUAAAAUAAUUUUAGUCUGGUUAUUUUAUUAAUAAAAAAUGACUGUUAUUAUAAAAAUAAAUUUCUAACUCGUUCAUUUUAUUAAUCCGAGAAAGAUCAUGAUUAUGAAACCGUAAUUAUAAAUCCGUCCGUUUAUAUUACUUUAUAAUAUAAAUAUUUACUAGUUUUGAAAUAAUUUUCUCCUAAUAUCUUGCAUUCUCUAAUAACCUAAACAGCAUAAGACCAUAAUUAUUAAAAAAAAUUAAUUUGUCCCAUCAAAUUAUUAUAUAAUAUUAAUCUUUAUCUAUUUUUAAUAUGUGAAAUUUUAAUCUGAUAGAAUAUGAUUAAAAAAUAUAAUAAGAUAUUUGUUAAUCAUAUGUGUUAUUUUGAAAAUCUUAUUUAAAUUUCAAAUGUUAAAUUAAAUCUAACAUAUAUUUAAGGAAGUCUAUUUAAAUUAAUAUCUAUAGACUAUAGAUAUAACCUAUAUUUAAGAAAAUUUUUAGUUAUCUAAAUUAAUAUCUAAUUUUCAAAAUUAAAUUUAUAUAUAUUAAAAAUAUUUUAAAAAAAAAUUUUAGGAGUGUUUGUAAACAAACACUAAAAUUAAUUCUGUUUUAAUAUAAUAGAUUCGAUAAUUAAAAAACAAAGAACAAUAUAGCUGUGUCAGCCAAGAUGCCGUAAAAUUUCCGAUAUUUGAGACUGUAAUGAUUGCUUCAGUUGAAGUGAGUUUGAUUGAAUAAUCAAGAUGAUAAAAAAUCCAGAAAUUUCGUUUGACGAGAGAUGUUUGGUCUGAGGAAUGACCGGAAGUUUGGUCUAAUUAAGUCUUUGAAGAAAAGCCAACAUAGACAUACCGCUUCAAAAUCGGUUUUCUACAUUGCGUCAGUACUGUAGUAAAUUAUAGUCCCUUCUUUGUGGGAGAUGGGAUUUUCGAACUGAAACAAGAAGAAACUAAGAGAAAAAAUAGGAAUGAUGACAAAUAUUUAUUUAAAAUUUCUUUAUUAAUGUGUGAAUAAAUUUAUUACAAAUUUGCAUUUUACCGUGGUCUAUUACAGUCUUCUAGUCGCUCAAGCAAAACUUCAUAUCAUAUUUUUUAUCAUUAUGCAGAAGUAUAUUCAUCUGCGGAGGAAUAGUGGAUUGAGGUGACAAAACUUGGGCUAAAUUCAUAAGUUACUUGGAUUUUUAUUUGUUUAGGAAGCCAUUCUCUCUAACGUUCAUAACAAAUUCACCCGUUUUCGAGAAUCGCACCUACUGCCACUGUAAUGUUUUUUUCUCUCAAAUAUGUAAGUAUCAGUGUAUCAAAGACUCAAAAGGAGACUGGAAUUAUCUUGUAAAAAUUAAAAUAAAUGUUACGAUUCUUUUUUAGUUAAUUUGAUUUUUUAAUAAUUUUCUAACCCAAUUUUUAUAUAGCCGAUCGACUCGAGAAAAAAAAAACUGGGGCUAAACCGCGUUAACGGCUCUAAUAAUAUGUUCUCCUAAUUACAGAAUCUUUUUCUUUCUAAAAUUCCUAAUUACAGAAAAUGCCACUGAAGUAGUUACACAUGUGAAGAGCAUGGUGCAAGGGUAUCAUUUAUACAAAAAAAAUUAGGCUUCAUUUGGUUAGACCAUUUUUUUAUGGUCGGUGAUAUUCUUUUUUCUUUUUUUCUUGUAUAACCAAAAAAUGUUGAAUAUCGCCAUGUGACAAAAAAAUUAACGUUAACUAACCUUAUCACCGAAAUGGCAAUAAAUAUCAAACCAUUUGCCAUCCCCAAUUAUUGCAUUCACUCUCCUCCUCCACAUCUUCUCACUCAGGUACUCUCUCUCUACCUCUCUCUCACACUCUCUCUCUCUCUAUCUCUCUCCUCUCUCUCUCUCAUUUUCGAGUUUCUAGAUUAUUCUAUUCAUCCGAUCAAAACGAGCUACAGUAGAGAUUAAACAAAGACUAUGAAAGAAGUUUUUAUGUAUUUAAUAAAAGACCUUCAAGAAUUUAUGAACAAAGCAUUUUUGUGGCUAUGCAUGUUGAUAUCAAUUAUUGUCCCGAUUUUAUUUUCAAUAGUUUUCGUGUUUUUUCGGUAACACUUGUCUCCUUUCCUUUCUUUAAUUCUUCUAUAUACACAUUAUCAUUAUGUUUUGUUUUAUUGUUAAUUUCCAUUCUUCAAUUUAACGAUAUAAUUUUCUUUUGUUUUUAGUCGUACAUUAAUAUAUUUUAUUUUCAUGGCUUUUAAAAAAUAAAAGAGAUUGUUUUGUUUUCACACAAUAACGAAUUGACUUCGUAAGGUUUAGAUCGGUUGAAAUUAAACCAGAUCCAGACCGGUUCAUUUUAGAAAGAUACAGAAAAACACAUUCGAUGUUAAUAAGUACAAUUAUAUAUCGUGUAAUUUGAGUUUGAUCCAUCACACUCCUUAGUGGCCAAUCAAAGAUGUUAGAGUAACUGCGUUUUGUUAUUAUUUUUCUGGAAAUAUAUUGUGGAAAAAGGUAAUAUACAAGUCUAAACUUCUUUUUUUGGAAAUAUUUAAUUUUUAUCCAUAAUUUUCAGGAUAUAUUUGACUGAUCGUCUUAACGGCCACGAUGUCUUGGGAUGACGGAAAGCACACGAAGGUGAAGAGAGUUCAGCUUACGUUCGAUGACGUCAUCAGAUCCAUCCAGGUCGAGUACGUCGGAACCACCCUCCAGUCUCAGCGACGUGGCAACGGCGGCACCAAAUCUGACGGAGUUAGUAACAACAGUGCUAACAACAUUUUAGUAUUUAAGAGUGUUUUAACUGUAAAAGAUUAUAUUAAACAAUUGUGGUUUGUUAAUUACAUAUCUUUUUUUGUUGUUGGCACAUGCAGUUCACACUGAGCUCGGACGAGUACAUAACGGGAUUGUCUGGUUACUAUAGAACGACUUUUUCGGGAGACAUUAUAACGGCGUUAACGUUUAAGACGAACAAGAAGGCAUAUGGCCCUUACGGAAACAAAACUCAACACUACUUUUCCGCUGAAGCACCCAGUGGUAAUCAAAUCGCCGGAUUUCUAGGAACCUCCGGCAAUGCUCUCAACUCCCUAGACGUUCACUUUGCUCCCAUUCCUCCCGCUGGUAGCAUCGGACCAAAACCUGAUGAACCCGAAACCAAACCUCCCGGCCAAGAAGAUUCAAAAGGUGAUGGCUCCGGAAUCAAACCUCCCGGCCAAGAAGAUUCAAAAGGUGAUGGUUUCGAAACCAAACCUCCAGGCCAAGAGGAUUCAAAAGGUGAUGGCUCCGGAACCAAACCUCCUGGCAAAGAAGAUUCAAAAGGUGAUGGCUCCGGAACCAAACCUCCUGGCAAAGAGGAUUCAAAAGGUGAUGGCUCCGGACCAAACCUCCCGGCAAAGAAGAUUCAAAAGGUGAUGGCUCUGGAGCCAAACCUCCUGGCCAAGAAGAUUCAAAAGGUGAUGGCCCCGGAAAGACUGGGCUGAUCGGUGGUAACAGUGGAGACGCAUUUGAUGAUGGUCGUUUUGGUGGUGUGAAGAAAAUAACUGUUGGAGCAGAUGAAUACAGUGUGACUUACAUCAAGAUUGAGUACGUAAAGGACGGAAAAGUUCAAACCCUUGAACACGGGACUAUUCGCGGGGAACUACAAGAGGUCAGAAUGAAUUAAUUUUUUUUUUUUUGUGAAUUUUGUUAAUACUCAAAUGGUUUGGUACUAAUUCAUGUGUUUCUAAUGGGAAAUCAAAUACAGUUUUCGGUGGAUUAUCCAAAGGAACAUAUCACAGCUGUUGGUGGAAGCUACGAUCAUAUUUUUACCUACGAUACAACGCUUAUCACAUCGCUAUACUUCACAACCUCCAAUGGAAUUACCUCUCCAUUAUUUGGUAAGCAGAGUGGAAAAGACUUCAAUCUCAAAGGUGAAAAUGGAGGAAAGCUUGUUGGAUUCCAUGGCCGUGGUGGAGCUGCUAUAAAUGCCAUUGGAGCUUACUUUGACACCAGUUCGAAAGGAGGUGACGAUACAAAACCUGUUGACACUGACACCAAACCCGGCAAAGACGAUUCAAAACCUGAUGCCUCGGGAAAGACGGGACUGCUUGGUGGUAAAGGUGGAAACGCAUUUGACGAUGGUCGUUUUGAUGGUGUAAAGAAAAUAACUGUGGGAGCGGAUGAUUUAAGUGUGACCUAUAUCAAGAUAGAAUACAUUAAAGAUGGAAAGGUCGAAAUCCGUGAACAUGGGACGAAUCGCGGGGAA
This 24385-nucleotide long non-coding RNA is filed under the name Eutrema salsugineum. Its description in RNAcentral is "long non-coding RNA (ESAL_LNC000288)". Lineage: Eukaryota; Viridiplantae; Streptophyta; Magnoliopsida; Brassicales; Brassicaceae. The record is from RNAcentral.